UCCAGACUCCUACGGGAGGCAGCAGUGGGGGAUAUUGCACAAUGGGGGAAACCCUGAUGCAGCAACGCCGCGUGAGUGAAGAAGUAUUUCGGUAUGUAAAGCUCUAUCAGCAGGGAAGAGAAUGACGGUACCUGACUAAGAAGCCCCGGCUAACUACGUGCCAGCAGCCGCGGUAAUACGUAGGGGGCGAGCGUUAUCCGGAUUUACUGGGUGUAAAGGGAGCGUAGACGGCUGGUCAAGUCUGAAGUGAAAGCCCGGGGCUUAACCCCGGAACGGCUUUGGAAACUGAGCAGCUAGAGUGCUGGAGAGGUAAGCGGAAUCCCUAGUGUAGCGGUGAAAUGCGUAGAUAUUAGGAGGAACGCCAGUGGCGAAGGCGGCUUACUGGACAGUAACUGACGUUGAGGCUCGAAAGCGUGGGGAGCAAACAGGAUUAGAUACCCCAGUA
RNAcentral lists this ribosomal RNA (445 nucleotides) under uncultured bacterium. RNAcentral describes it as "bacterial SSU rRNA". It matches the Rfam family "Bacterial small subunit ribosomal RNA", at positions 330 to 792 of the family's 1533-position model. The record is from RNAcentral.